Tupaia belangeri chinensis (Chinese tree shrew) is the source of this 1038-nucleotide long non-coding RNA. RefSeq lists it as uncharacterized. The record is from RefSeq and is a predicted model, not a curated record. The transcript is spliced from 2 exons. Lineage: Eukaryota; Metazoa; Chordata; Mammalia; Scandentia; Tupaiidae.
UAAUAAAAUUUUAUUGAGAACCAGUAAGUCAAAUCCUUUACAGAACAUAGAAAUACACAUGAUCCUAGCCCUUCCCUAUAAAUGACAACAUAACUUUGGGGUGGGUUCCCUGACUAUUCCAAAUACUUUGUUGUAUAGCUGAAGGAGAGAAACCAUUCCUCUAGAGCUCAACAGUCCAGGAAAGAAAGAAAUCAGAUGCUUUCACCUGUUUAGGGAAAGCAGAAAUGGAAUCAGAAUUCAUACGAAUAAUAACGGACUAAAGAAUUUUGGAGCCAGUGGAGUGUAUAAGUAAAUACUCACUCUUCAUAUUUUGUAUUUGAAAAUCAGUUAACCAAAGGCAGGAAAUCUUAAGAUCAGACACAAAUUAACCUGAGAACAUAGGAGCAGAGUGUGCCUCUCAAUUCAGUUAUUUAGGGAAGUGGUAAGAAGGAGAGAAAAUAGCCUUAUACUUACGUUUUUCUAAAACUUUACCUCCCAUGAAGGCCUUUGAUGCCAAAUAAUUGGAACUGACAUCAAAGAUGGAAAAAAAGAGCCAAGUGACUGGAAGGAUUAGAGACUGAUAACCAAGAUAAGACUAAAGCCCAGUCAGACUAUGGAAAUGGUCACAAUGAUGCCAACAGAUUUCACAUGAUGAAAAGUUAACUACUACACAAACAGAAACAUGACAGGAUAAAUGAACACUGCUGAACAAGCUUUGAAGGUUUUACUGUCUAGUCUUUACAUGGAGAUAAGAGGUGUUAUUGAGUUUCUGGGGAAGCAAUUUUUAAGGUUUUUUUUUUUUUUUAACAAAAAGAAAAAUAACUGAGGGAAAAAUGAACGGAAAUAGAACUGAAACAAUAGUGUCACUUCCUUUCAAAACCAAGAAAGCUAGUGUAAAGGUUUCUUUCAGUCACUACCAUGGUCUUGGAGUAUUUGGAUUUUGCUCUGUAGCCUUUACCUGAAUUUAAAAUCCUACUGAAACUUUCUUAGCUCUUAAGCUUAAAUGAUAGCAAAAACAUAAAUUUCUGCCAGUUUAUUAACAGCCUUAAAUUUUUUUUU